Molecule: small nuclear RNA, 290 nt
Filed under: Castor canadensis (American beaver)
Lineage: Eukaryota; Metazoa; Chordata; Mammalia; Rodentia; Castoridae
Description: 7SK RNA (ENSCCNG00000025082.1)
Rfam family: 7SK RNA
About the family: 7SK was discovered as an abundant small nuclear RNA in the mid-70s but a possible function has only recently been suggested.
Source: Rfam by way of RNAcentral
GGAUGUGAAGGUCAUCUGGCUGCAACAUCUGUCACCCCAUUGAUCACCAGAGUUGAUUCGGCUGAUCUGGCUGGCUAGGCGGUGUCCCCUUCCUCCCUCACUGCUCCAUGUGGUCCCUCCCAAAGCUGCGCGCUCAGUCGAAGAGGAUGACCAUACGUGAUAGAGGAGGACCGUUCUUCCGUCAAGGGUAUACGAGUAGCUGCGCUCCCCUGCUAGAACCUCCAAACAAGCUCUCAAGAGGAUCGAGGUCCGAAGUCAGUCCAUACAGAGAGUUCUUGAGACCCCUGUCU